This 295-nucleotide long non-coding RNA is filed under the name Setaria viridis. Its description in RNAcentral is "long non-coding RNA (SVIR_LNC005263)". The record is from RNAcentral. Lineage: Eukaryota; Viridiplantae; Streptophyta; Magnoliopsida; Poales; Poaceae.
AAAGGUGAAAUGGGAGCCAGAUCGAUGCUAUCGGGAGUAAGCGCCGAGGUCGAUAUUUAUGGGGUAAAAUACGUGGAAAUCUGAUGAGGCCACGUCCCAUCGGUAAUAAGGAGGGCAGUAAAUAAAGGGCGCCGCGAAGGGUCGGUCAAAGAAGGUAGUAAAUGUUCGUACAAAACGGUCAGUGUUUUACAGAUUACCCAAAAGGGUAUCAAUAGCCGUGAUGGCCCGACGUCGGAUCUGAUCGGCAGAGUCAAGAACCCGUUGGUCUUCUUCUGCCGAUCCAGGAACCUCCGAU